GGCCCUAUAGUGCAGCGGUUAACACACAUCCCUUUCACGGAUGAGGCAGGAGUUCGAUUCUCCUUGGGGCUG
This 72-nucleotide transfer RNA is filed under the name Abditibacteriota bacterium. RNAcentral's name for it is "tRNA-Glu". It matches the Rfam family "tRNA". Rfam says of the family: Transfer RNA (tRNA) molecules are approximately 80 nucleotides in length. Their secondary structure includes four short double-helical elements and three loops (D, anti-codon, and T loops). The record is from RNAcentral. Lineage: Bacteria; Pseudomonadati; Abditibacteriota.